This 4813-nucleotide unclassified non-coding RNA is filed under the name Stegodyphus dumicola. RNAcentral's name for it is "snurportin-1-like, transcript variant X1". Lineage: Eukaryota; Metazoa; Arthropoda; Arachnida; Araneae; Eresidae. The record is from RNAcentral.
UUAUGCAUCGGAAACUUAACUAUUACUUUAGACAAAAAUUUCUGGCAACUCUGCGUUGGCGGAAGUUCAAGUUGUCUUUGUACUAAUGUCUAGUGUAGCUGUUAAGAAGAAAGUAUUAGUAUUAUAUUUGUGAAUCUGGCCAGCGCUAACUGGUGAUUUAUUACUGGGUUACUGUGUGCAAAUGAUGGAAGAUCUUAUUGAAGCAUUUGCUGUUUCUCAGGUUACUGUGCAGCCAAACUCCACGGCUACAGAACAUCCACAUUUUGCUUUAUACAAAGCAAAACAUAGUACAGUAAGCCAAGAAGAGAGGAGAAAGAAGUUUUUAGAGGCACAGAGAGUCAAACGGUAUGAUUAUGUUAGCCAUGCACGUAAAUUGGCCACUAAUGGUUUUAGUGAUGAAGAAGAAGAGGAAGAAAAUUCAGAAGAAAUGGAUGUAGAGGCAUAUGUAAAAAAACCUCCCAGGUCUUAUAAAAAUCAACUGAUGUAUUCAGAAUGGCUUGUUGAAAUACCCUCUGAUUUGGAAAGUCAGUGGUUCCUAAUGCUUUGCCCUGUCGGAAAGCGAUGCCUUGUUGUUUCAUCUGGGGGCAAUACAAAAGUAUUUACAAAAAGUGGAUACCGUGUGAAUACCUUUCCGUCACUGCUGCCCGGUGGGAAUAAAAGUGGUGGUGUGCGGCAUGCUUAUUGCCUUUUAGAUUGCAUUUUUAAUGAAAUAGAUAAGACAUAUUAUAUUUUAGAUGUAAUGUGUUGGAACUCACACCCUUGCUUUGAUUCUGAAACUGAAUUUCGAUUUUUUUGGAUAAAUUCAAAAAUUGAAGAAUCUGCUGAAGUGAAAGUUAUAUCUAAAAGGAAUCCUUAUAAAUUUAUACCUCUGCCAUUUGUCAAAUGUGAUACUGAUUCUAUUAAGAAUUUCCUAUGGUCUCCUUUACCAUUUUCAUGUAAGUUGGAUGGCCUUUUAUUCUACCAUAAAAGAACACAUUAUACUCCAGGGACAACACCUUUAGUUGGUUGGCUAAAAGCAUAUAUGGUACCAGAGUUACUGAAUAUUGAAAUUCCUGAAACAUUGUGCUCUGAAAAGCCGGUAUCUUAUGUUUCAAUGAGACAGCAUCUUCCACAAGCCUUUGAAAAACAUGAAGAAAGGAAGAAGGAAGAUGAAAAAAAUAUGCAAUAUGAAGAUGACUAAUAAUUUAACUUAUGUUAGUUUUAAAAUUAAUUUUUUAAGUGGACAUUUUUAUUGAAAGUUAAUUUGUGCAUGUGAUUUUAUUUUAAAAUCAAGUGUCAGGAUGAUUUUAUUGUUACAUUUCUCAUCAUAAUACAUAAGCAUUUCAUUAAAUGUUAUGUCACAAAUGCAUUAAUUUGUUUUAUGCUAUGUUUUGUUAAAAUAUGCUUAUGGAUAUAAAAAUUUAAAAACCUGUUCUUAUGUAUUUUCUAUUAAACCAAGUCCUUUGAAACAUGAGUGAGAAUUUUGCAUUGCAGAUAUAUGCUAACUAUGGUGCAUAAAUAUUUUUGUUGAUUACAAGUGUUAAAUAUUACAAGUGUUAAUAUUUUUAAAAAUUUACUGCUGUUUAUUAUUUUUGCUUGGAAUUUUUUUUUUAUUCUAAGUCAUCAUAGUCUUAUGCCCCCCAUCCAAAAAGACAUGCUUCUGCAUUCCACAGAAAGUAUUUGAUUAUUCUUUAACUGAACAUAUUUUGUAACUUGAUAGAAUCAUUCUGCUGCCUUUUCAUACACAGAAAUGCACUAAAUCUAUAUUUUAUUAACAUUUAGAUCAUAUAUGCUAAGCACUACAUCACUGUUUCUGGAUUUAAACAGACAAUUUUUUUUGUGACAUUGUAGAGCUGUAUUUAAUAAAUUUAGACAAUUUUAUGAUAGAGAAAUCCAUAUGUAAUGACUUGUAUGGUUAAUUCAUAAAGACAAAUUUUGAUAUACCUAACCUUUAUAAAUGAAAUCAAGUUUUGUUAGACUUAUAUGGGUAAUUCAUAAAAACAAAUUUUGAUAUAGCCUAACCUUUAUAAAUGAAAUCAAGUUUUGUUUGAUUCUUAAAAAUGAAAAUUAUUGUAUAGAAAUGUAAGAACUUUAUUAUUUGACUUGUUAGAUGUAUUUAAUUGUAGCACUUGGAAGAAAUAAAAAUUAAUGGGAAAUUUUCCAUACACAUCAUGAGAUUUUAAGAAAAUACCAAUGGACAGCUAUGAAGGAAAUUUUUGUUGACAUCCUGGAUAAAUAUCAUAGUGAUAAACUGAGCACUAGAUAAGUAGUAAAACAAAUGGAACCUUAAUUGUUUUUUCUUGCAUUUGGGAACUGUAUUACUAGUCAUGUAAAAUGUAAAUUAGUUGUAAUUUGUAUUGUGCUUAUUUUAAGUAAUAUGAAGUUAAAGUAUUAAGCCCUACUUUUAAAUGAUGCUUGGUUAUAUUGUAAAGCAAAGAAGAGUAUUCUUUCUUUUAAUUCUGAUGUUUUUUAAAAUGUGAAAUUUCUCAAAAUUUUUCAUGAUAAAUUAUCUAAUGUAUAUUUUGACUUUUCGCUAAAUGCAGAAAUUUUGUAUGCCGCUGGAAAAAAUAGUUGUUAGCAUUUUGUAAACUUCCAUUUACUAUCGUCCAAGCAAAUGGCAAAAUUUUAUACACAGAUAUAUAUGUAAAUUAGGAAAUAUUUAUAAGAAAUGUAAAAGUUUUCAUAACAUGUAUUCUUAUUGUUAUUAAUUACAUUUAUGUUUUCUACACAUAUUUUGUGAUACAUGUGUUUGAAACUACAGGCAGUGAUAUUUAUUUCAAGUAUGAGUAAUAAAGCAUAUAGAUUUUAACACAAAAUCAGAAAGAAAUGGAAUGAUUAUUUAUUUUAAUAGUAUAAUUAACUAAGCAACUAUAAUAAUCAUUUAUGACUGUAUAAUUAUUAAGAAAUUUCUUAUUUUUAGCGUGUAGUAAUGUACAGACAUUUACGCUCAAAGAUAUAUAUAAUAAUUAUUUAUUAUAAUCUUUUUAUAAAACAUGUAUAACAUUUUUUAUUUUAUCACAGGCCGUUUUCUAGAUUUUUAACCAUUAAGCAUGGGUCUAUAAAUCUUGCUCUUGCUAUCCAAAGGAGAACAGCUAGAGAGAAAAAUUGCUUCAACAGCUUCCUCUUCCUCCCUUUCAUAUAACUGACUGAUUUUUCUCCAAAGAAAUUACCCUUAGGGAACAUUAAAAUGGAGCAGUUGAACUCUAAAUACAAUAACCUUAGUCAAGAUAUCCACUGUGGGAGGCCAUCGACUGGCCAACAAAGCAUUGACAGAUGAAAAUACUUUUGAGAUUAAACACUUUUAAUCCACCUUUCAUGUGUUUACCGAAUCCUAUUUGUGUCUUUUGUUCAUAACCUUGAAGAAUUUUUGGAUUCACUGUUAACAAUAGAAGGAAGCAUGACCUUUAUGAAGUCCACAUUUUGAUGUCCCUGAAUGUCACACUUAUGCAGAUCAGAGUCCAAGAAAUUAUUUCUUUCAUUGGAGACAGACAGUAUUCUUGUUUGAAAGGCUGGAUGAACAACCAGUCAGACAUGUCAAAACUUCAGUUCAAGGAGUGGUGAUUGGUAUUUUUAUCAUCUACAUCAGUUUGUGGUUGCUUACUCGUGAGUCACAUGGUGGUUUGAAUUCCCAGUUGCUAAUUUAUAUAUUGAUAAUAUGUUUAUUCUAAAGAAUUCAUCAAAAAUGUUAAUUCAUGUUUAGGAUAGAGUCGUAGAAAAGGAGCAUAAAUGUCAGAUGAUCAAAAUUAAGAACCUUUUGCAAAUUCUGAUUGUAAUUAAGGACCUUUAAGGAUUUUUAAAGAACAUAAUUUUGGUAUAGUUCAUUCAUAGCAUUAAUUUGUCACUUCACAUGAUAAACUGUCUAUAACAUCUACAUAAAUAUUGCUUUAUAAAAUACAAAAUUCUGUAGAUGUUACAUAUUAACAUUUGACAUCGAAAAUGAAAAAUUUGGUAAUGACUGAAAUAUCUGAAAAAUCUAUCAAGCAAUUUAGCUUCAAUCAUAUACUAUCAAGCAAUUUAGCUUCAAUCAUAUACUAUCAAGCAAUUUAGCUAUUUCAUCAAAUGACAUGGCUUGACUUUUCUGUGCUUCUCAGGAGAAAUGCUAGCAUAACUAGAUUCACAUCAUACAUUAAUUACUGUGUUAUUUAAUUUUAGAAACAGUACAGUAAACAAUUAAAACUAAUCGAGAACUGUGGAAAACUGCUUUACUGCAAUUAGUUUACUAAACUGAUGAAAUGUUUCAAGGAUGAACAGUAUCAUACAAAGAAUUUUAAGCAUAUACUUACACAACUAAUUUACCUCAAUCUUAGCACUCGAAAAUGGCUUGCAGGGUUAUUUCAUUAGCACAAUAUGUAUUACAAUUCACUUUUGAUUUAUCAUUGCAUCUGUUACCUUUCAUUCACUGCCAAUGAUACUGAGUAAAGUGUGCAAGUAUUUUUGUGUUGGUAAUUUUAAAUUUUAUAAUAAAUUUCAAGAUUAUUUUAUAAUAAUCUGUGUUGUGUAUGUAUGCUGUUUGCAUUAUGAAAAACUAAUGGCACCAAAUUUGGAACAAGCAUAUUCCUUUGCCCAGAAAUGUGCACCUCAAAACCUGAAUUUUUAAUAUCUUUAUUUUAGUUCUUUCAUAUUUUGUGUGAUAGUAAUUAAUUUAUGAUUAACAAUUCAGCAUUUUAAAAGGAAUGUGUUCCCAUUUUGCAAAAUGUAACAUAUUUAAUAAAAAAGAAGCUCUGUUUAGAAGCAGUACAUUGCCAUUCAAGGAUAUUGAACUUCUAAAUUUAAUCUGCCUGUUACUGAUCAUUAAAUUAAUUGAUUUAAAAGCAAUAUAAUGAAUUUAAAAAUA